RNAcentral lists this long non-coding RNA (1777 nucleotides) under Helianthus annuus (common sunflower). RNAcentral describes it as "hypothetical non coding rna". The record is from RNAcentral. Lineage: Eukaryota; Viridiplantae; Streptophyta; Magnoliopsida; Asterales; Asteraceae.
ACUUAUCAUUAGGGUUUUGAGUCCAAGUGAUUAGAACAACUCCCACUAUUGUUCGCUCCUCGCAGUUCAUCCAUAGAUAGAACAUUCCCUGGCUCCACCAACAGUGCCAACGAUUUCCCAGCAAGGUAUAUUUAUGAUUAUGCGCUGUUUUUUGUUGUUGGGUUUUGAUUUGCGUAUCAUGAAUUUUGGGGGUUUUACUUGUGUGCUACCGUAUCUUGAAUAAUGAUGGGGAUUUGAAUAUUUAUUUGUUGAAUUGGUGAUUCAUAUGGGUUGGCUUCCAUUCGUCUUGUUAGGCCUAUGAGUCUAUGACUCAGUUUAACAUUAUACCUUAAAGUUUCUCCAAUUUCCAGUAUUUGACAUUUUUUAUAUUUGACAUUGUUAGGCAUAUGGGCACCUUCGUAUCUAUUUCUGUUUCACUAUUUCAAUUUGAGACCAAUUGCGUUAAUUAGUGGGUUAAAUGUGAUUGGACCAUCAAAAUGGGGCUUGGGCGUGGAACAUUCAACGCCAAACAGCCAAAAUUCAAAAAAACGCCCCGGGGGCCGACUUCGGUCAUGUUUGGGCGUGCUUCAUCACAAAAACGGCCAGUUUCACAACGAGUACACAUGGUCUAAAGUUUGAAAGUGUAGUCUUUCUGCAAAGUAAGGAGGAUGUAAUUAUUCUUGGGUUGUUAACGGGUUAGGGGAUGUUUGGUUGAAGAUGGAAGGAACUAGGAUUUUAGUUUCUAUUUAUGAACUGAUGAGUGUUUAUGUAUUUCACUGAGCCCUGAGAACUAAUUAAAAUGUGAUGUAUCUCUGUUUUUAGUAGACCUAUAUCAUGUGUAGCUUUAUAAAGAUCGCUAUUGCUAGUACACAAAACUAAAAACUUCAUCAUAAAUUUGGUGGUUUGCUCUUUUUCACGGUUGCAUUAAGUGUUAAGAAUUACAUUAACAAUAUUCACUGGCAAGUUUUAUGAGGAUGAUAUAACAUAGAUGUGACAAUUUUAAUUCAUGUAUUUGGGCAUUAGGUUAAUUUGGGUUAAUUUUUAUCUCAAACGGGUCAACCAAACCUAACCCGCCCCUUGUGACCCAUACUUUAUAAUAACACUAGCCCUAAAGAAGCCUAAACCAUGUCAAAAAAUUACAUCGAGUCAACCAAUUAAACAAAACAUUACCAUACUUUUCCAAAAAAAAAAAAACAAUGGAAAAAUACUGCUUGGUAUGAAUAAAAUUACAUCGAGCCACUCAAUUAAAACAACACACUACCAUAGUUUUGUAAAAAAACACUAAAAUGACUUUUACAGUGGGGGCAAAAUCAUAAUUUGACAGGAAAAAACAAAAACAAUGGCAAAACUAUACAUUUGAGCUUAGGGCAAACCAAUGUCAAAAAUGUAAAUGAACAUGUAUUUAUAGGGGAGGUUUAGCCCAACACUCCCCCUAAACCCUAAGCCCAUUGUACCCCUAACCCAUUACAUACAAGCUCAUUCUCAUUAAUAUACAAACUAGCCCAAUCAUUAUGUAACAACUAAUGUAUAAACCUUAUUGGCCCAACAAAGUUCGAAAGCAUAUUCGUAGCUUAAACGGGCGAAAUCGUAAUUUGGCUGAGCAAUGGGAAAGUGUCAGGCUUGCCUGACACUGUUCCCCUUUUUGCCCCACUCGUGUUGCGGGACACUAAGUCGAAUAUUUCUCUUUAAUAAUAUGUGCGUAUGUGUUUUGGUUACUUAUACAUACUACUCAUAACACGAUCUAAAUAAAUUUUUAUUGAGUUAACCAAUUAAAACAAAACACUACCAUACUUUUGCU